UGAGGAAUAUUGGGUCAAUGGGCGCAGGCCUGAACCAGCCAAGUCGCGUGAGGGAUGACGGUCCUACGGAUUGUAAACCUCUUUUGUCGGGGAGUAACGUGCGGGACGCGUCCCGUAUUGAGAGUACCCGAAGAAAAAGCAUCGGCUAACUCCGUGCCAGCAGCCGCGGUAAUACGGAGGAUGCGAGCGUUAUCCGGAUUUAUUGGGUUUAAAGGGUGCGCAGGCGGCGCGCCAAGUCAGCGGUCAAAGUUCCGGGCUCAACCCGGUGUCGCCGUUGAAACUGGCGUGCUCGAGUGCGUGCGG
This 303-nucleotide ribosomal RNA is filed under the name uncultured Porphyromonadaceae bacterium. RNAcentral's name for it is "bacterial SSU rRNA". It matches the Rfam family "Bacterial small subunit ribosomal RNA", at positions 355 to 655 of the family's 1533-position model. The record is from RNAcentral. Lineage: Bacteria; Pseudomonadati; Bacteroidota; Bacteroidia; Bacteroidales; Porphyromonadaceae.